CCUACGGGAGGCAGCAGUGGGGAAUUUUGGACAAUGGGGGCAACCCUGAUCCAGCAAUGCCGCGUGAGUGAAGAAGGCCUUCGGGUUGUAAAGCUCUUUUGUCAGGGAAGAAACGGCGGGGACUAAUACUUCCUGCUAAUGACGGUACCUGAAGAAUAAGCACCGGCUAACUACGUGCCAGCAGCCGCGGUAAUACGUAGGGUGCAAGCGUUAAUCGGAAUUACUGGGCGUAAAGCGUGCGCAGGCGGUUGUGCAAGACCGAUGUGAAAUCCCCGGGCUUAACCUGGGAAUGGCAUUGGUGACUGCACGGCUAGGGUGUGUCAGAGGGGGGUAGAAUUCCACGUGUAGCAGUGAAAUGCGUAGAGAUGUGGAGGAAUACCGAUGGCGAAGGCAGCCCCCUGGGAUAACACUGACGCUCAUGCACGAAAGCGUGAGGAGCAAACAGGAUUAGAUACCCUGGUAGUCCACGCCCUAAACGAUGUCUACUAGUUGUCGGGUCUUAAUUGACUUGGUAACGCAGCUAACGCAUGAAGUAGACCGCCUGGGGAGUACGGUCGCAAGAUUAAAACUCAAAUGAAUUGAACGG
Molecule: ribosomal RNA, 586 nt
Filed under: uncultured bacterium
Lineage: Bacteria
Description: bacterial SSU rRNA
Rfam family: Bacterial small subunit ribosomal RNA
Source: RNAcentral